RNAcentral lists this ribosomal RNA (285 nucleotides) under uncultured Actinomycetales bacterium. RNAcentral describes it as "partial 16S ribosomal RNA". It matches the Rfam family "Bacterial small subunit ribosomal RNA", at positions 223 to 520 of the family's 1533-position model. Lineage: Bacteria; Bacillati; Actinomycetota; Actinomycetes; Actinomycetales. The record is from RNAcentral.
GGAUGAGCCCGCGGCCUAUCAGCUGGUUGGUGAGGUAACGGCCCACCAAGGCGACUACGGGUAGCCGGCCUGAGAGGGUGACCGGCCACACUGGGACUGAGACACGGCCCAGACUCCUACGGGAGGCAGCAGUGGGGAAUAUUGCACAAUGGGCGAAAGCCUGAUGCAGCAACGCCGCGUGCGGGAUGAAGGCCUUCGGGUUGUAAACCGCUUUCAGCAGGGAAGAAGCGAAAGUGACGGUACCUGCAGAAGAAGCACCGGCUAACUACGUGCCAGCAGCCGCGG